CAGUCGCCGCGGUAAUACGAAGGGGGCUAGCGUUGUUCGGAUUUACUGGGCGUAAAGCGCACGUAGGCGGACUUUUAAGUCAGGGGUGAAAUCCCGGGGCUCAACCCCGGAACUGCCUUUGAUACUGGAAGUCUUGAGUAUGGUAGAGGUGAGUGGAAUUCCGAGUGUAGAGGUGAAAUUCGUAGAUAUUCGGAGGAACACCAGUGGCGAAGGCGGCUCACUGGACCAACACUGACACUGAGGCACGAAAGCGUGGGGAGCAAACAGGAUUAGAGACCCCGGUAGUCCCUGUCUCUUAUAC
This 301-nucleotide ribosomal RNA is filed under the name uncultured bacterium. RNAcentral's name for it is "partial 16S ribosomal RNA". It matches the Rfam family "Bacterial small subunit ribosomal RNA", at positions 509 to 807 of the family's 1533-position model. The record is from RNAcentral.